Molecule: ribosomal RNA, 376 nt
Filed under: Myotis mystacinus (whiskered bat)
Lineage: Eukaryota; Metazoa; Chordata; Mammalia; Chiroptera; Vespertilionidae
Description: partial 12S ribosomal RNA
Source: RNAcentral
UUUUAGAAUACAAACAACAAAUAAAAUUAAGCCCUAGCUAAGCUGUAAAAAGCCUCAGCUACUGUAAGAUAUACAACGAAAGUGAUUUUAAAGAAAUCUGAUUACACGAUAGCUAAGACCCAAACUGGGAUUAGAUACCCCACUAUGCUUAGCCCUAAACAUAAAAAAUUAUAAACAAAAUUAUUCGCCAGAGUACUACUAGCAAUAGCUUAAAACUCAAAGGACUUGGCGGUGCUUACAUCCCUCUAGAGGAGCCUGUUCUAUAAUCGAUAAACCCCGAUCUACCUCACCAAUCUUUGCUAAAUCAGCCUAUAUACCGCCAUCUUCAGCAAACCCUAAAAAGGAAUUAAAGUAAGCACAAGUAUUAACAUAAAAA